Non-coding RNA from Stegodyphus mimosarum, 47 nucleotides. NCBI's taxonomy places the organism in Eukaryota, Metazoa, Arthropoda, Arachnida, Araneae, Eresidae. The record is from Rfam.
UAAAAGGCCCUUUUCAGGGCCAAAUAAUUCGGAAUAUUCUGAGCAAU